AACAAACAAUCUGGUUUACAUUGAGCACCCCAUUUAUAAUUCCCCUGCUUCACUGUGUCUUCCAUUCUGUAACCACAGGCCAUCGAUGGCUGGUUCUUGAGUGAACGAGUCAUCUACUCCAUGAGACAUUUUGUGUGAGUGUGCAGCCCUGAAGCACAACCAGGCUGGAAGCCCGGCCCCACUGCAGGACCCUAUGCCUAGAAAACGAGCUUUCCCUUUCCUUGAAUUGAGUUCGCUGGGUUUGUUUCAUGCUAGUAACUUGUGGGUGGGGAGCCAAGAGGGUGUGUCCUGUCCCAGGAUAGGCAGCUGAGGAGGGUGUGUUUUGGGGGGCAGGAUAGAUAGGUUUAACCCCGCUGGCCACCACCCCAUUAGAGCAGCUGAGGUGAGCUUCUCGUGUCUGCUGGAAUCCUCAGUUUGCCUGGGUGUCCUCCAAAGCUAUCCCUCCCUGGGGACCUGCAGACCUGGGCAGCUCCUAACUCCACCUGGGAGUCAGCCAUGCUGUCUCCUGCAUGGUACAAACAUCUCUGUAAGUGACUGUGCUCUUUGCCAUAAAAGAAAGUCUAGUGCUCUCACUGUGUUAGCAUUUGACCACCCACCCUCCAUCUUCCUGCUGUGAUAACCAUGCGGGGUGGUGUCCACCAAGCUGAAGAGGGAUUUGAUUUACUUGACUUGAUAUCAAGAGGCACUGUACUUUGGGAAGUCACUUACCUCUCUUGGGCCUAGGUUUCCCGAUCUGUAGAAAUGAGUAAUAAUUUAUGUUUUUCUAUAAAGCUGCUAAGAAGCUCAAAUGAGAUAUUUAUGAAAGUGCUUUGUAAACUGUACGCUGUAAAAACAAGUUACCUGUUAUUGUCUUAUCUUUGUAGAAAUAACAGCAAAUAAGUACAAGAAAGAUGAGAGCGAGAGAGAGAGAGACCGUGAGCGCAAGAAUUACACCCGGUAUGGAAGACGACUCUAAAUAAUGAACUUCUCUUGAGGCAAAAGAGAUGCCCCUCGAACUAACUGAGCUUUAACUUAAUGGAACCCAGACAGGAGCUGCAUGAUCCAACUUCCUAUCCAGGGAUUCUGAGAGGCUGAACAAUUCUAGCCAAGAAAACGAUUAUAAUAUUGAUGAAAUCAAAGCAUCUAGAAGACCGUGCAUUCCAUUUUUAAUCUAGCUGAGAUGGCAUAAUUCAUACCUCCUCAAAUUUGGACAAUUAUAAAUGACUCAACCAGCGAGUGCCAAAUUCCACCUACACCCUGAGUAUACCUGAAGCAACCACCGAAACCCAAGCUAAUCGCCAGAUGUAUGCUCACUGAGUGGGUAACUUACCUAACCUUGAGGUGAGCUAAGAACCAAACACACUCACAGUUUAAAAAGAAUGUUUUGGAAGUGGAUUUUAUUUUAUUUAUUUUUAGUUUUAGUUUUUUUGAGAUGGAGUCUCACUCUGUCACCCAGGCUGGAGCUCAAUGGCGUGGUCUCGGCUCACUGCAACCUUCACCUCCUGAGUUCAAGCGAUUUUCCUGCCUCAGCCUCCUGAGUAGCUAGGACUACAGGCGCAUGCUACCACACCUGGCUAAUUUUUGUAUUUUCAGUAGAGACUAGGUUUUACUAUGUUGGCCAAGCUGGUCUCGAACUCCUGACCUCAUGAUUUGCCAGCUUCUGCCUCCCAGAGUGCUGGGAUUACAAGCAUGAGCCACCACACCCAGCCUGAAGUGGAUUUUAUGAAUAAAGACUUUGUGGCUACCUGUUAUCCUACAGAGUCUGAUGUGGCCUUCACUUUAAUACUUCCUCAAAUAGAUAGUAGUGAGAUGGAAGAGGCAGGAGAAAUAUACAUCUGGGGUCAGUGAGCCACCACACGCAUUUCCAUGAUAAUUCUCCAUACUGGCCAAUUGAUCAAUCAUAUAUUGGAAUAUAAUCCAAAUGCUAGUCAAGGCCUCCGUGUCCAUCUGGCUCCUG
This 1936-nucleotide long non-coding RNA is filed under the name Homo sapiens (human). RNAcentral's name for it is "HSALNT0025193". The record is from RNAcentral. Lineage: Eukaryota; Metazoa; Chordata; Mammalia; Primates; Hominidae.